CGUAUGUGAAUUUUUUGUGCAAUUGACCUUUACCUUGGGAAGAGUUCACCACUGACUUCUCAUGGGAACAAAAACGAAAACUUUUGUAUGCCACAGAGCCAAUAGGCUGCCUCGCAGGUGAACGGUUGAUACUCUCAGAGUUGGUUGAGAAAAAUCUAUAACUUGACCAUUAUUGCAUAUGCUUUGUAUAAAAUUUACUGGUGCUUUCAUG
This 211-nucleotide unclassified non-coding RNA is filed under the name Hevea brasiliensis (rubber tree). Lineage: Eukaryota; Viridiplantae; Streptophyta; Magnoliopsida; Malpighiales; Euphorbiaceae. The record is from RNAcentral.